This 74-nucleotide transfer RNA is filed under the name Spirochaetes bacterium GWB1_59_5. Its description in RNAcentral is "tRNA-Arg". It matches the Rfam family "tRNA". Rfam says of the family: Transfer RNA (tRNA) molecules are approximately 80 nucleotides in length. Their secondary structure includes four short double-helical elements and three loops (D, anti-codon, and T loops). Further hydrogen bonds mediate the characteristic L-shaped molecular structure. tRNAs have two regions of fundamental functional importance: the anti-codon, which is responsible for specific mRNA codon recognition, and the 3' end, to which the tRNAs corresponding amino acid is attached (by aminoacyl-tRNA synthetases). tRNAs cope with the degeneracy of the genetic code in two manners: having more than one tRNA (with a specific anti-codon) for a particular amino acid; and 'wobble' base-pairing, i.e. permitting non-standard base-pairing at the 3rd anti-codon position. The record is from RNAcentral. RNAcentral also lists the same sequence under 2 other names. Lineage: Bacteria; Pseudomonadati; Spirochaetota.
GGUCUGGUAGCUCAGUUGGAUAGAGCGAUUGCCUCCUAAGCAAUAGGUCGUGGGUUCGAUUCCCGCCCAGAUCA